GCCGCAAGCUAAAUCAAGGAAUGACGGGGCCGCCAAGCGCGAGCAUGCGAUAAUCGAUGCAACGCGAAGAACUUACCUGGGUUUGACAUAAGAGAAAUCCUCCAGAGAUGGGGGUCCGUAAGGGCUCUAUACAGGUGGUGCAUGGCUGUCGUCAGCUCGUGUCGUGAGAUGUUGGGUUAAGUCCCGCAACGAGCGCAACCCUUGUCUUAUGUUGCCAGCACGUCAUGUGGGGACUCAUAAGAGACUGCCGGGGUCAACUCGGAGGAAGGUGGGGAUGACGUCAAGUCAUCAUGCCCCUUAUGUCCAGGGCUUCACGCAUGCUACAAUGGCCGGUACAAAGGGCUGCGAAACUGUAAGGUGGAGCGAAUCCCAAAAAGCCGGUCUCAGUUCGGAUUGGGGUCUGCAACUCGACCCCAUGAAGUCGGAGUCGCUAGUAAUCGCGGAUCAGAUGCCGCGGUGAAUACGUUCCCGGGCCUUGAACACACCGCCCGUC
This 493-nucleotide ribosomal RNA is filed under the name uncultured Nocardioidaceae bacterium. RNAcentral's name for it is "bacterial SSU rRNA". It matches the Rfam family "Bacterial small subunit ribosomal RNA", at positions 885 to 1398 of the family's 1533-position model. Lineage: Bacteria; Bacillati; Actinomycetota; Actinomycetes; Propionibacteriales; Nocardioidaceae. The record is from RNAcentral.